UGGGGAAUCUUCCGCAAUGGACGAAAGUCUGACGGAGCAACGCCGCGUGAGUGAAGACGGCCUUCGGGUUGUAAAGCUCUGUGAUCCGGGACGAAAGAGCCUGAGGUGAAUAGCCUAAGGAAGUGACGGUACCGGAAAAGCAAGCCACGGCUAACUACGUGCCAGCAGCCGCGGUAAUACGUAGGUGGCAAGCGUUGUCCGGAAUUAUUGGGCGUAAAGCGCGCGCAGGCGGCUUCCUAAGUCCAUCUUAAAAGUGCGGGGCUUAACCCCGUGAUGGGAUGGAAACUGGGAAGCUGGAGUAUCGGAGAGGAAAGUGGAAUUCCUAGUGUAGCGGUGAAAUGCGUAGAGAUUAGGAAGAACACCGGUGGCGAAGGCGACUUUCUGGACGAAAACGGACGCUGAGGCGCGAAAGCGUGGGGAGCAAACAGG
Molecule: ribosomal RNA, 429 nt
Filed under: Fusobacteriota bacterium
Lineage: Bacteria; Fusobacteriati; Fusobacteriota
Description: Fusobacteria bacterium partial 16S ribosomal RNA
Rfam family: Bacterial small subunit ribosomal RNA
Source: RNAcentral